UCCCAGCAAAAAGUGUAAGGGUAGAUGGAUUUUUCACCUCCAUUUUACAGCUUUUACAUGAAAGCAGAAUCCAUAUCAAAACACAUAUAACAUAAUGUGAGUGAUAGGAAUUGUGGAUUUCAGGGAAGCAGUUUGUAAUGCAUUAUAUAUGCUACUGUACUUCUCAUUUGUAUGUUUGAGAGUUAUGCAGUUAGUUAUUUAUAGUAACUUUGGCACUGAGGAGGAUGGCUCCAGCUGAACCCUGGGAGCAGAAGGUGCUCUUUGUCCCUGAAGCAGGAAUGCAUUUAUGGCACUUUGUCAUCGGUGAGAAAAACCUGCUGUGUGAAGCUGGGCUCCCCCCGGAACCCCAGAGCUGAUGGAAGGAAGGUCCUGGAACCUGGGCACAAAGCAGCCUUAAGCUUUUUGUUGGAGGCAGAGCGAAGUGUGACAGCUGUAAUGGGAGAGUGGGUAAAUGUGACCAAAAGCCCGGCCUGAAGUUCACAGCGAAACUGAAGUGCUGCACCACUUUCAAGGAGGAGAAUUUGGGCCAAGGAUUCAGCGACGGACAUCUGAAGAACUCAGAAAAAAACAACAACCAAGGGAUGGGGAAAACAGAACAAAGGAAGAGACCGGCUCCCUUUCACAGCCACCUCCUUCUCUUACGGCUCCUCAGCAGACACGUGAGCGAGCUCCUGCGGGGUGGGUGCCACGCGCACUGAGAGCAGAGUGCUGCAGACCCGUGCUCCGAGCAGGCGGCAGACGGACAGGAGCAGCGCUGCCUGACUCCGGGCUGACCCAGGAACCCAAGAUUUUUGGCAUAGUGGUCUUGACCUCUCCUUUCUGUCCUGUCAGCUGUUAUUUCCCAGUGCCCUUGGAUAGGCUGAAUUUGCUCUUCCUCGCGGCCUUUAUAUAGUUCCCCCCUCCCCAUACUUCUGUUAGGCUUUUAGAUCUUUGGGCGAAUCUUGGAACUGCGGAUUAAAAUCCCACAUCUCAGCUUUUAUGAAAAGAUUUGCCGAGGUCUGGGUGUUGCUGGAAGCCUGAUAUUCUGCACCAUUUACUGGCUGUGAA
Gallus gallus (chicken) is the source of this 1047-nucleotide long non-coding RNA. NCBI's taxonomy places the organism in Eukaryota, Metazoa, Chordata, Aves, Galliformes, Phasianidae. The record is from Ensembl.